This 1551-nucleotide ribosomal RNA is filed under the name gut metagenome. RNAcentral's name for it is "bacterial LSU rRNA". It matches the Rfam family "Bacterial large subunit ribosomal RNA", at positions 545 to 2105 of the family's 2925-position model. The record is from RNAcentral.
AGAACCUGAAACCAUACGCUUACAACCUGUCGGAGCGGCUUCGUGCCGUGACGGCGUGCCUAUUGAAUAAUGAGCCUACGAGUUACUAAUCACUGGCGAGGUUAAGUGCUAGGAAGCACGGAGCCGAAGCGAAAGCGAGUCUGAACAGGGCGUUUAGUCAGUGGUUGUAGACGCGAAACCUUGCGAUCUACCCUUGAGCAGGAUGAAGGUUGGGUAAAGCCAACUGGAGGUCCGAACGAAUAAGCGUUGAAAAGCUUCUCGAUGACUUGAGGGUAGGAGUGAAAGGCCAAUCAAGCUGGGAAAUAGCUCGUACUCCCCGAAAUGCCUUUAGGGGCAGCGUUGUAAUAAAGAGUCUACUGGAGGUAGAGCUACUGAUUGGAUGCGGGGGCUUCACCGCCUACCAAAUCCCGACAAACUCCGAAUGCCAGUAGUAUGAUUUACAGCAGUGAGCCACCGGGUGCUAAUGUCCGGUGACAAAAGAGGAACAACUCAGACCAGCAACUAAGGUCCCCAAGCGUAUGCUAAGUUGAACUAACGAUGUUUUGUUGCAUAGACAGCUAGGAUGUUAGCUUGGAAGCAGCUAUUCAUUCAAAGAGUGCGUAACAGCUCACUAGUCGAGCGACAAAGCGUGGAUAAUAAACGGGCAUCAAGCAUACCACCGAAGUUCUGGGCGCGAAAGCGCGGUAGGGGAGCAUUCCAUUCAGCGUUGAAGCAGCGUCGUGAGAUGUUGUGGAGCGUAUGGAAAAGCAAAUGUAGGCAUGAGUAACGAUAAUGCGGGAGAGUAACCCGCACACCGCAAGACCAAGGUUUCCUGAUCAACGCUAAUCGGAUCAGGGUUAGUCGGGUCCUAAGGGUAAGCCGAACGGCGAUCUCGAUGGAUAAUCGGUUAAUAUUCCGAUACUGACAUAUACCUCGAUGGAGAGACGAAAUCGCGUAAGUACCGCCUCCUGACGGAAUAGGAGGUUAAAGGGCGUAUGUAUAGGGGCAGAUUAAGAGUCAGUCCUUGCUGAAACCCGACAGUACAGAGAGCCUACGGGCAAUUUGAUAGUGUACCCAAGCAUGUUUCCGAGAAAAUCUUCUAAGUUAUAGUAUAUGUCACCCGUACCGUAAACCGACACAGGUGGUCGAGGAGAGUAUCCUAAGGUGCUCGAGUGAAUCACGGUUAAGGAACUAGGCAAAUUAACCCCGUAACUUCGGGAAAAGGGGUCCCUACGCGAGUAGGGCGCAGCGAAGAGGUCCAGGCGACUGUUUAUCAAAAACACAGGGCUCUGCAAAUUCGAAAGAAGAAGUAUAGGGCCUGACACCUGCCCGGUGCUGGAAGGUUAAGAGGGGAUGUCAUCGCAAGAGAAGCAUUGAAUCGAAGCCCCAGUAAACGGCGGCCGUAACUAUAACGGUCCUAAGGUAGCGAAAUUCCUUGUCGGGUAAGUUCCGACCUGCACGAAUGGUGUAACGAUCUGGACACUGUCUCAACCGUGAGCUCGGUGAAAUUGUAGUCCCGGUGAAGAUGCCGGGUACCCGCAACGGGACGAAAAGACCCCGUGAACCUUUACU